Molecule: long non-coding RNA, 1382 nt
Organism: Dipodomys spectabilis (banner-tailed kangaroo rat)
Lineage: Eukaryota; Metazoa; Chordata; Mammalia; Rodentia; Heteromyidae
Exons: 2
Source: RefSeq, a predicted model, not a curated record
UGAUAACAGAAAGUUUAUUCAAGAAUUGUUUGACAGACAACCCUUUCAAGUAAGGGGGGAAAAAGUAACUACAGAAGAACAAAGAAAGUUCCAAGAGGGAAUUAACUCUAACUCUACAAAUUCAGGACUAUACAGUGACAAUUAGGAGCUGAGUUCAUGCCUUUUAGAACUAAUUACAAUAGCUCAUAAGUACGAGUUUAACAUAAAUCUACAGCUCUUUUCUAGAGUACAAGAAAAACUAAAAUAGCUGGUUUUACAUGACAGGAAACACAAUGUCCCUUAUAACAAGUAAAUACUAAAAAAGUACAUUUUUCCUUUUUUUCCCUCAUAUAAAUACAUAAUGUAGGGGGAUAAAUAAUACCAAAAGGAAAGAAAAUAUCUUAACAGGCUAUAACCAAUAAAUAUAUAUGAAAAUGUUCACUAGAACACACGCUUUUUGAGCAAUGCUGGACCUCUGCAGGCCCAGACAUCUCUCACAGUUGUUUUUAUAUCCAUUAAAAUGUAAACUCUAAGUGCAACAAAAGUGUCCUGUCAGGAGGUUGAGCAAGGCACAGAGACCCAGCUGCAGCCCCUGCCUGGGACAGACAGUUUGUUCAAAUAUACCCUGUUUUCACGUUAAGUCAAGAGAGCAAUGCAAGAAAAGAAAAGUGGAGAACCUCUGUGGCCAUUCGCUGUCCGCAAGGGGGCUGGGGGUGGGGAUGGACCUGGAGCUGAACUUAGGCUGCAGAACAGGCAAACCUUCAGUCCUGACAACUUGCCUGCCUUAGCCCAACUCUUCCUUUAAAAGAAAAAAAAUAUAUAUGUAUAUAUAUAUUUAUUUAUACUAUAGGCAGCUCUGAUUUUCAGGAUCUCAUCAUCCCUGAGGCCUCAGAAAACGAAUUGAUGGGGCCGGGGUAUAAAGAUGAAUGACCUAGAACAAACAAACUAUGGAGUUCGAAAUGGAGGGCAUGUUCCCCAAAGACCUCAAAUAGAAGGGAGAACAUUUUGAGGCUUGGAGAAGUGGAGGGAGAAUUUUGUGCCCUUGGGUUUAAAUCUGUUUCCUUGUUUCUUAAGGAAAAUGAGAGGGGUAAAAAAAAAUCAAGAUUUGGGGGAGUUAUCAACAGAGAUGGAAGGAUGCCAGCAACUCCAGACUGUUUCUACAAACUUUCUGAAGAUUUCUAACUCACAGCCAGUGGAACCCCGCUUCCCUUUGUAGGUCUGCUGCUCUGCUGAGGUACCACUACCUUCACUACCUUCUUUGCUUAGCCAGGCCUGGGACUUGGCAGCCAAUGGCCCCUGUGGAGCUUCCAAAUGGAACAGGGUUGUUUCAAAUUCUUAGCAAUGGCAAGAACCCGGUGCUGUGACCAUUUGGCCCAGAUCUCUCCCCUCCCCGCACCCUUCUU